AUGGUGCAAGCCAUCGUCGCCGGUGGGAAGACACUGGAUCAGCACCGGAGGAGGGUCGUCAAGGAGGAGGAGGGAGAGGAGGCCGCGGCCGUGGCGAUGCCGAGAGUCCUUCGCGUCACGUUCGAGGAUCGGGACGCCACCGACUCCUCCAGUGACGACUCGCCGCGGCAGGGACGCCGCUUCGUGGAGGAAAUCCACCUCGAGCAGCCGGCUAGGAUGAUGGUGUCGCCGCAGCCGCAGGCUUCUCCUUUCCGGAGAGGGGCUGUCCUCGGCGCCAAGAGGAGGGCUGACUUCGUGGAGGAGCCCAAAUUCCGUGGGGUUCGGCGGCGGCCGUGGGGGAAGUAUGCGGCGGAGAUCCGCGACCCCAACAAGGGGGUGAGGCUGUGGCUCGGCACCUUCGACACCGCGGAAGAGGCUGCCAUGGUCUAUGAUAGCGCCGCCCUCCGGCUUCGUGGGCCAUCUGCCACAACGAAUUUUCCUACUUCGCCAUCCCCUUCGGCCGAUCCUGAUCAUGCUGUCUUGCCCGAUGCUGAUGGUGAUGUCGGCCACCUCCUUGCGGCGGCCACAUGCGAGGAGUCUAGUGAUGAGUCACAGUUUGUGGGCUCGCCGGUCUCUGUCCUCAGGCCGCUCGAGGUGAUGGCGUCUACAGUCAAUGCCAGCAAGCCUGAUGAGUCUACCGUUUCUGCCGGUUUGAAGAUUUCAGUGGACACGUGCCGCACAGGCGGCGACUACUCUCCGUUUUGCAACGCCGAUGUUAUUGUGCCGCCGGAGGACGAAGACUGCAUGUUCCCCGGCCUCUCAUUUGCUGCACCGACGAUUUUCGACGAUGAUGGUAUGAUGUCAUCACACCUUGAGUAUUAUGCAGCUAAUGUCGAGCCGGUGAGUUUAUUGGAGAUGGGCGAGCUUCCGAUGUGGCGAGAGGUGGAUGUCUUCUUUGACGAUGUUUUGUCUGCCUCACCUCUCACUGAGCUAUGA
RNAcentral lists this ribosomal RNA (975 nucleotides) under Triticum aestivum (bread wheat). Its description in RNAcentral is "partial small subunit ribosomal RNA". The record is from RNAcentral. Lineage: Eukaryota; Viridiplantae; Streptophyta; Magnoliopsida; Poales; Poaceae.